CGCAGCUCCCAAGAGCCUAACCCGUGGAUUUAAACGGUAAACAUCACAAGUUAGGGUCUCAGGGACUGAGG
RNAcentral lists this microRNA precursor (71 nucleotides) under Cricetulus griseus (Chinese hamster). RNAcentral describes it as "lin-4". Lineage: Eukaryota; Metazoa; Chordata; Mammalia; Rodentia; Cricetidae. The record is from RNAcentral.